Molecule: long non-coding RNA, 1042 nt
Organism: Clupea harengus (Atlantic herring)
Lineage: Eukaryota; Metazoa; Chordata; Actinopteri; Clupeiformes; Clupeidae
Exons: 2
Source: RefSeq, a predicted model, not a curated record
GCCUAUGCUAUUAAAACCUGAACUGCCAGCAGCAUUUGUCUUGCAUCUUAAGCUAUUCCCGAUUAGCUCAUAAAAAAAAAGUCUGCAAUGGAUGCAUUUGCAGUUGCAGUAUUGCUGAUGUUGUAUAUCGUUUUCUCAGAAAAAGAAAGAAAUGACGGCACGACAUGCAGGGAAGGAAGGCCACAGUGGCCGAGGAACAUGCGAUAUUCACCAGGCCAGAAAAGAGGGACAACAAUGGCCAUGGCCGUCGUGCCGUCCGGUGAAAUUCCUACCCUGAUUAACACAUGUUUUACUAUUCCUUACCUUAUCGUGUACAUUCCUUCAUCUGACAUGAAGGCUGAAAUAUUAAUAUAAACGCGUCGUGAUCUCCACUGGGUAUUUGGCUAACGUUACACAUUCAUUGUACGUUCUGGUACGGAAUGCUAUUGCAGUGCAGUGUGAGAUAACAAAAUAGGCUACUUUGUCAUUGAAACACACGGGAAUGGGUCAUUUAGCAAGCAGCAGUUUUUUUUUUUUUUUUAAUAAAUGUGUAUUUGUGUGUGAAUAUGUCACGUGUGACCCUACUUGAAAAUUUUGUUGUAUAAUUUGCUGCUGCCAGCACUCUGUGAAACAGGCGUCCCGAGCGCAGAUCCUGGACAAGGCCACCGAGUACAUCCAGUACAUGAGGCGGAAAAACCACACUCACCAGCAGGACAUCGACGACCUGAAGCGGCAGAACGCCCUGCUGGAGCAGCAGGUCAAUGCGGUGACAUGUACCAGGACAACCAUCAAGCCGGACAGUGUCAACAGGCUGGUGAAAAGACCCAUGGGGGCUAAAGGUUAUUUUGAUGACUUUUCAUUGAAGUUUUAGUUUCCUGUUUCUUGUUAAUUGAGUCAUAUAGAGUAAAGUGUGCUAGUAACUAGAGGGCAUUAAUCAUCAUGUUUUAUUGUUUUAUUGUAACUGUUCAUUAAGAGAAACUGUGUUAAUGGGAAAAAUAGUUUUCCAGACCUUAAUCUUUCUUGAUCAUCUUUAAUAUUUGAAAUGUUUCUUUCUUUUUUUUUU